This 409-nucleotide ribosomal RNA is filed under the name uncultured microorganism. RNAcentral's name for it is "bacterial SSU rRNA". It matches the Rfam family "Bacterial small subunit ribosomal RNA", at positions 9 to 414 of the family's 1533-position model. The record is from RNAcentral.
GAGUUUGAUCAUGGCUCAGAUUGAACGCUGGCGGCAUGCCUUACACAUGCAAGUCGAACGGCAGCAUGAUCUAGCUUGCUAGAUUGAUGGCGAGUGGCGAACGGGUGAGUAAUACAUCGGAACGUGCCCUGUAGUGGGGGAUAACUAGUCGAAAGAUUAGCUAAUACCGCAUACGACCUGAGGGUGAAAGUGGGGGACCACAAGGCCUCAUGCUAUAGGAGCGGCCGAUGUCUGAUUAGCUAGUUGGUGGGGUAAAGGCCCACCAAGGCGACGAUCAGUAGCUGGUCUGAGAGGACGAUCAGCCACACUGGGACUGAGACACGGCCCAGACUCCUACGGGAGGCAGCAGUGGGGAGUUUUGGACAAUGGGCGAAAGCCUGAUCCAGCAAUGCCGCGUGUGUGAAGAAGG